Molecule: ribosomal RNA, 301 nt
Filed under: uncultured bacterium
Lineage: Bacteria
Description: partial 16S ribosomal RNA
Rfam family: Bacterial small subunit ribosomal RNA
Source: RNAcentral
CAGCAGCCGCGGUAAUACGGAGGGUGCAAGCGUUAUCCGGAUUUAUUGGGUUUAAAGGGUCCGUAGGCGGAUCUGUAAGUCAGUGGUGAAAUCUCACAGCUUAACUGUGAAACUGCCAUUGAUACUGCAGGUCUUGAGUAAAUUUGAAGUGGCUGGAAUAAGUAGUGUAGCGGUGAAAUGCAUAGAUAUUACUUAGAACACCAAUUGCGAAGGCAGGUCACUAAGAUUUAACUGACGCUGAUGGACGAAAGCGUGAGAGCAAACAGGAUUAGAUACCCCAGUAGUCCCUGUCUCUUAUACA